CCUGCUCCUAAUUUCAGAUGUUUCUCCCUCCCAAAAACACAGAGUGGACCUGUGUGUCCAGGAUGCUGCUGUCUUCCCCCUGCAAGCUGACUUGUGUGUGCUUUCCUUCCUUUUCUACAACCCAUGUCAGUUGCCCUCCUUGGAUGUCCCCUAAAUCUAUACACAUGCGUCUGCAUACAAUCUCCAUCCCCUCCCUGCUGCUAUCUUUAAUACUAAAAAAAAUGGCAGAGGAAGAGAAGAGGAAGCUGCCAGAAACAGAGUCUGACGGCUUUAUGUCAGAUACAUGUAAAAUAUAAGAGUGAGACUGGAUCUCACAUCCUCAAUACUAUACUUUUAUCUAAUAACUGCUUCCCAGCAUAAUUAACAUUGCUUCUCGGUGCAAUUUAUCGUAUACCUACCCCUAUGUUGCGUACUGUACAUGAGGCAUUAGUUUACUUUAGAGUAGGUUCCAAUUCAAAGAGGCAACCUUGUCGUGGUGAGUGGGCCUAUACUUUUUGAUCAAAUUGUAUUCUAAUGCCUCAUGUACAGCAUGCAACAUAGGGGUAGGUAUACGAUAAAUUGCACUGAGAAGCAAUGUUAAUGAUGCUGGGAAGUAGUUAUUAGAUAAAAGCAUGGUAUUGAGGAUGUGCGAUCCAGUUUCACUCUUAUAUUUUACACGUUUAUGUCAGAUACAGCCGCACUAGCAGCUAGGUGAUGGACCUUUACACAUUCUGAAAAUGCAAAAUGGUAGAGGAUUUUUAAUAAAAACUUAGAAAGUUGAAGCAAAUUAACAAUAAAAAAAACUGCAUAGCCUUUAAAUUUUGGUUAUAAAUAGCCACCACUAGGGGGAGCUCCCUGUAGACAAAUGUAUACAGAUCCCAUGGAACUCAGUAAUAUACUGUAUCUAGCUAGUGGAAGCAGAAGGCAAGCAGGGGAUUUGGAGCUCUGUAUCAGAAAAGAGAGCUCUGACAAUUUUAUAGAUAUUUCACUGAAUUCUUUAACAUUUCAAUAAAAUGAAUCUCCAAACAUUCUCUUCUGUGAGGUUGUAAAAAGUCUGUUUGGCUAUAUCUGUCACUAGGAAAGUUGAACAACAACCAAUAUGGCUACUUCAGAAUGAGCGACUCAGCUCUGGAUUCUUGCUCCUCCAGCAAACAGACAAUUCUGCCCUAAAGAAGUUGCUGUUAUAUAUACAUUUCUUCUACUGUGCCUCCUGCAGGAAAUUUACAGUAUUACGUGCUGGUUAUUCUAAUAAAAGAUGGUUCAUGUA
Long non-coding RNA from Bufo bufo (common toad), 1246 nucleotides. RefSeq lists it as uncharacterized. The transcript has 3 exons. The record is from RefSeq and is a predicted model, not a curated record. NCBI's taxonomy places the organism in Eukaryota, Metazoa, Chordata, Amphibia, Anura, Bufonidae.